Molecule: ribosomal RNA, 460 nt
Filed under: uncultured bacterium
Lineage: Bacteria
Description: partial 16S ribosomal RNA
Rfam family: Bacterial small subunit ribosomal RNA
Source: RNAcentral
CCUACGGGAUGCAGCAGUGAGGAAUAUUGGUCAAUGGACGAGAGUCUGAACCAGCCAAGUAGCGUGAAGGAUGACUGCCCUAUGGGUUGUAAACUUCUUUUAUAUGGGAAUAAAAUGUUCCACGUGUGGGAUUUUGUAUGUACCAUAUGAAUAAGGAUCGGCUAACUCCGUGCCAGCAGCCGCGGUAAUACGGAGGAUCCGAGCGUUAUCCGGCUUUAUUGGGUUUAAAGGGAGCGUAGGUGGAUUGUUAAGUCAGUUGUGAAAGUUUGCGGCUCAACCGUAAAAUUGCAGUUGAAACUGGCAGUCUUGAGUACAGUAGAGGUGGGCGGAAUUCGUGGUGUAGCGGUGAAAUGCUUAGAUAUCACGAAGAACUCCGAUUGCGAAGGCAGUUCACUGGACUGCAACUGACACUGAGGCUCGAAAGUGUGGGUAUCAAACAGGAUUAGAUACCCUAGUAGUC